RNAcentral lists this transfer RNA (69 nucleotides) under Cavia porcellus (domestic guinea pig). It matches the Rfam family "tRNA". Rfam says of the family: Transfer RNA (tRNA) molecules are approximately 80 nucleotides in length. Their secondary structure includes four short double-helical elements and three loops (D, anti-codon, and T loops). The record is from Rfam by way of RNAcentral. Lineage: Eukaryota; Metazoa; Chordata; Mammalia; Rodentia; Caviidae.
GGGGAUUUAGCUUAGCGGCAUAAGCGCCUGCCUUGUAAGCAGGCAAUCGCCAGUUCGAUCCUGGUACCA